This 448-nucleotide ribosomal RNA is filed under the name uncultured bacterium. RNAcentral's name for it is "SSU rRNA". It matches the Rfam family "Bacterial small subunit ribosomal RNA", at positions 26 to 518 of the family's 1533-position model. The record is from RNAcentral.
AGAGCGAACGCUGGCGGCAGGCCUAACACAUGCAAGUCGAGCGCGUGUAGCAAUACACGAGCGGCAGACGGGAGAGUAACACGUGGGAACGCGCCCUUUGGUUCGGAAUAACUCAGGGAAACUUGAGCUAAUACCGGAUAAGCCCUUACGGGGAAAGAUUUAUCGCCAAAGGAACGGCCCGCGUCCGAUUAGCUAGUUGGUGAGGUAACGGCUCACCAAGGCGACGAUCGGUAGCUGGUCUAAGAGGAUGAUCAGCCUCACUGGGACUGAGACACGGCCCAGACUCCUACGGGAGGCAGCAGUGGGGAAUCUUGGACAAUGGGGGCAACCCUGAUCCAGCCAUGCCGCGUGAUCGAUGAAGGCCUUAGGGUUGUAAAGAUCUUUCAGCUGGGAAGAUAAUGACGGUACCAGCAGAAGAAGCCCCGGCUAACUCCGUGCCAGCAGCCGC